Transfer RNA from Ovis aries (sheep), 73 nucleotides. It matches the Rfam family "tRNA". From Rfam's summary of the family: Transfer RNA (tRNA) molecules are approximately 80 nucleotides in length. Their secondary structure includes four short double-helical elements and three loops (D, anti-codon, and T loops). The record is from Rfam. Lineage: Eukaryota; Metazoa; Chordata; Mammalia; Artiodactyla; Bovidae.
UCCCUGGUGGCUCAGAUGGUAAAGCAUCUGCCUGCAACGCAGAAGACCUGGGUUCGAUCUCUGAGUCAGGUGA